GCCGUUGUAACGAUCGCUACAACGAUGAUCGGCACAAUGAUGACCGUUAUAGCGAUCGCUACAACGGCCAUGUUAUACCGAUGGGCACAAUGAUGGCCGUUAUAGCGAUCGUUUUAACGGCCAUUGCUAUCGUUAUUAAGUGUACUCUGGUGGCCAAAGUCGUAAACUACAAGCGUUUAUCCCCGUGUUUGCAGCGGGGAGAUAUGAAUGACUCCCGUUUGUGGCUUUUCUGGGCUUCUUCCGCUCAGAACUCGACCUCCACACACACCCUCCAAAUGUGAAUGUGCUUAUCUCCGUGUUUGCGGAGGGGAGAUGUGAAUGACCUUAUAACCCAUGGCAUAGUGAAUGUCGAGACGCAGGUGGAUGUUAUGGAUUCCGCUGACUUCCCGAGCCGCUUUGACCCGAGAGCCUAGGACGGCCUUUUCCAGGCGCCGCCUUCGCACGAGGCCGCACGUCGAGGUUGUGGAGUGUCGGAGCCUUUUUGGGCAGGGGAGCCGCUGGGGGCGCUGCUGCUGCCCUCCGGUGGCCAAAGGCGUAAACUACAAGCGCGUCUCAGACUCUGGGCGCCACUCUGCAAAGGGGCUUUUGCUCCAAAGAGGCUCCAAGACCAGAGGGAAAGAAGAACAGGAUCCAGACAUAACCCUCAGCAUUACUGAUAAAGAGAAACAGGGGUUUUCGUUCACAUAACGUCAAAGGAUGAAAUGCUGAAAUCUCCAUUUUGGUUUGUAUUCUUUGCUGCCAUUUGGAUAUAGCUUGUCUUUACUUCCUAUAAGGCUCCUUCAAGCCCAUUGCCAUUCUGCUCCCCUAGCCCACUUUCACCCCCUUGUCUUUCUUUCUUUGCCCCUCAACUUUAUUGUUUCAUUAAGUUUACUUUUCUAUCUUUAUUCCUUGCUCUAGACACAACCCUAUACUGCCUCUAUGCUAAGUAUUUUUUUGAUGUGUCCAUCCUGCUUUUCUUAGUACCCCUGUGCGCAGCAAUGGGUAAGUUGCAUUAUGUUACAAUAUGUUCAUAAUUUCCCUUUCUCGGCUGCAUCUUUUACCUUUUCUUCUUAAAUAAAGUUUCUAGUUUCUCCUCCUACAGUUCACAUUGCCUGUAUCUCUCAGCUGCGUUUGAAAAGGGGGGAGGGGGGAGAAAACCCUGGCCUGGAAGGAGAUAGCAGCAGAGAUACAGCUCCCUGUGGAACUCUAGGGCUGCCAUUCUGGACAUUACAAGGUACACUAAUAAAGGCACAAUCCCUCCCAGUUUGCAUGCCAGCACAGGCUGCUGGGCUGGUCGCUUUGUUCCGAGCCAUAUGCAGAGCUCUAGCACCAGUGUAGCCUGCUAGUGUGGCUUGCUAACUGCAAACUAAACCCAGCACGGCUGGGAAAAGGGGGGGGGAUGCUAACUGUUCAAUAUUUUGUGUCAUUUAGCCACCUCAGUCUCGCAAAUCCAUCGGGAUCUCGUCGAGAUGCGGCCUGCUGGACUUACCGCCCCGCUAUAUCCUUUUGAACCGGGCGAUUGGGUGUUCCUGAAAUCCUGGAAAAAGGAACCUCUGACUCCAGUCUGAAAGGGUUCAUACCAGAUCUUGCUGACCACCUAUUCCUCGGCCAAAGUGCAGGGAGUGAAAGCCUGGGGUGCACUACACUGAAGCAUGCCAACCCGCCUCCUGUAACACAAGCUCGAGAAAACGCAGUGGAAAGACCAGAAGUAUGGAGUUCAGAGCUUGGCCCUAAUUUGCGUCUACCUUUUCAACGCCACCAAUCCAGUUGCCCGGAAUCCGUUGUUCCUGUUAGUUCUGUUGUUCCUUCUGAUUCUGCAAAUUGUUGUUGUUUUCUUGCAAGCGAGGGGACUGAUCGCUCUACCAUGGACUCGGACUCUGAUUGACUUUGUUGGCGGUAAGAGACUUCCAGGUUUUUCCUUUCUGGAGCCUGGACCCCGUUUUACAUCAUAGACUAUAGACUUAUAGACAUUCUGCAGUUGAGAACUACGAUCAAGACAUCCUCUGAAGACUUGCGAGGCUGAGUGUGGUUUUGGGACUCAAAAAUAGAACAGUGUUGAAAAUCUUGUAUUAUCACAUGUCAAAUCACAUGACUGCCAGGUUUUAUUAGAAGGAGACCUUGUAUAUUCCUGGUCCAUACUAUACAUUGCAUCCUCCUCCUGUGCAGUGGCCAGGAGCUUGGAUCACUCAACGACCCGUUCCCUCAUUUGUAUUGUGCCCCCAUUAUUUUUCUUCUAUCUACUAGUUAAGAGAUCCUGAGGGAGUGACAGUUGUUUUUCUUUUGAUUUUUCAAAAAAUAAUAACUGCACACCCAUAUUGGGGUCCCUCACGAGCUUCACUUCUUGUCAGGACUAACAAAGCAAAACAUUUGACUAUUGAUUACUUGGUAUAUACAUGUAUGACUUCAUGUGAAAAUUUUGUUUGUCACCCAGUUUCCAAUUUCCAAGAUUACUUUAAGACAACUCCUCCUAAGCUUACAGUUUGUGAUUGUCAGGUUUAUUCCUUGGGACCAAGAUGUCCCCAUAUUCAUUCAUAAUAACCUACAGUCUCUAUUGUACAGUAAUAGCCAUUCCUGACCAUCCACUCCGCCUGCCUUUACAUGCUUGAUAUUUUCCUUUAUGCAUACGUAAGACUAAAGGCACAAGGUACUAUGGUUCCAUUGAUCCUAAUAACUGUGGUUCCAUAGUUUCUUUUGAACAAUUUGAAUGGUCUCCAAAAAAGGGAGAGGUGGUUUAUAUGACCAGACCUGAUGGUGUUUCACAGGGUUUCAUGCAACUCACAGACACACAAACUACUCUAUAUUUGUCCACAAAACCCCUGGAUGUGUAUUGCCACCUUUAUAAGAUAUAUAAGAGAAACAAUGCUAAUGCUAAUGUAACUUGGGAAGGAACAAAGAAUUCUAUUCUGACCUGGAUGGCUUUUAUGUAUGUUUGUACUUCUUGUAGAAUAUUAGGAAAUGCUGUAUCUGCUUCUGAACGCUCUAUACUAUUGUCUGAAAAAGGAUUGUAUUUUAUUUGUGGAAAUGCUGGACGAAAGGUUAUACAUGUAGAGUGGACAGGGUUAUGUUCUUUUGGUACUGUGGUACUAGAGUUGGGAAAAAUGAAAGGCAAUCAGGGUUUAAAUUUGGGAGGUCGACUACCUAGGGCUGUCAUAUUCCCCUACGUGUAGUCACCUCAGGCUCAAGUCCUUCUGCGCCUCCAGUUCUCACUAGUUUGCUUAAACGCACCCUUCAAGUUUUCAGGGUGCAUUUGAAAAGGGGGGAUCUGUAGGCACAGAAGGAAAAGAGUGAAAGUAAGAAGGAAAUAGAAAGUGGUAGAAAGUGGUAGAAAGUGAGAGAAA
Long non-coding RNA from Sphaerodactylus townsendi, 3317 nucleotides. RefSeq lists it as uncharacterized. The record is from RefSeq and is a predicted model, not a curated record. NCBI's taxonomy places the organism in Eukaryota, Metazoa, Chordata, Lepidosauria, Squamata, Sphaerodactylidae. The transcript has 2 exons.